GGGUUCAUGGCCUAAUGGUAAGGCGUCAGAUUUCGGUUCGUCAACUAAUCCUCUGAAGAUUGCAGGUUCGAUCCCUGCUGAGCUCG
Hypoxylon sp. FL1284 is the source of this 86-nucleotide non-coding RNA. The record is from the annotation of a GenBank genome assembly. Lineage: Eukaryota; Fungi; Ascomycota; Sordariomycetes; Xylariales; Hypoxylaceae.